UCCUCGCAUCAUUUUUUAAUUUGGCUAUUCAAUUUUUUAAAAUUUUAAUUUUACUAUCCGAUAUUUCAAUUUAUUUGAUUUGAAUCAACCAACGGUAUUUUGGCUUCAAAAUUUGAAUAUAUUAUUUAUUUUUACAUGUUUAGUUAGCAUACUUUGUUUAAUUCUCACAACUAUAAAUAAAGUUUGAAGUCAAGUUGUCGUUGACUUACUCAAAUCAAACAAAUUGAAAGAUUGAAUAGUAAAAUCAAAAUUUUGAAAAAUAGGAUAACUAAAUCAAAAUAGUUCAUAAUUUUGAUAAAUUCUGUACAUUUUUAUACUUCAGU
RNAcentral lists this long non-coding RNA (323 nucleotides) under Ananas comosus (pineapple). RNAcentral describes it as "long non-coding RNA (ACOM_LNC033524)". The record is from RNAcentral. Lineage: Eukaryota; Viridiplantae; Streptophyta; Magnoliopsida; Poales; Bromeliaceae.